This 250-nucleotide ribosomal RNA is filed under the name uncultured bacterium. RNAcentral describes it as "partial 16S ribosomal RNA". It matches the Rfam family "Bacterial small subunit ribosomal RNA", at positions 524 to 771 of the family's 1533-position model. The record is from RNAcentral.
UACGAAGGGGGGCUAGCGUUGCUCGGAAUCACUGGGCGUAAAGCGCACGUAGGCGGCUUUUUUAAGUCAGAGGUGAAAUCCUGGAGCUCAACUCCAGAACUGCCUUUGAUACUGGAGAGCUUGAGUCCGGGAGAGGUGAGUGGAACUGCGAGUGUAGAGGUGAAAUUCGUAGAUAUUCGCAAGAACACCAGUGGCGAAGGCGGCUCACUGGCCCGGUACUGACGCUGAGGUGCGAAAGCGUGGGGAGCAA